GCCUUCGAACCUGUGCAUACUUCUUCCUC
This 29-nucleotide non-coding RNA is filed under the name Macaca fascicularis (crab-eating macaque). The record is from RNAcentral. RNAcentral also lists the same sequence under 1 other name. Lineage: Eukaryota; Metazoa; Chordata; Mammalia; Primates; Cercopithecidae.